GAAAGACCAAAGUAACGCAACGGUGGAUAUUUUAGUUUUACCUAGCAAUCAGUAGCGACAAACGAGAAGGUGCUAUGAGUUAUGAAUACGCCUCACGCCAAGGCAUCUUUGCUAUGGUUCUAUGUGCGAUAAUAUCACCUAUAUGCAUAAAUCCAACAGUAGAUGUACACUUUUGCAAUAUUUCUUGACUGUAUUCUGUACAUCACCAAGCAUAGCACUCCAUGCAGGGUCCCAAACAACCAACGCACAUGCCUGAGGCUGGCCACGCUCCUUGGACACAUCAACAACGUCUACAUAUGUCUUUAGCAAAGCUGCUGAUGAAACAAUUCCUUUUUAGAAAGACAACACUGCUUUGCACGUGCUAACACCAACAGAGGCAUCCUGAUAUAGGAAGAUGCAAACUUGUAUAAAGAACUUCUUUCUUCCCAAUAAACAGCAACAGGGGGAAACACCCAUCUAUAAAAAUAGGUCUACUAAAUCAAUAGAAAUUACUUGUUGAAAAACCCUAAAACAACUACACUCUACAGUUGUCAGAAUAUCAUCUAUAUGAAGCCAAAGAAUGAGCUGGACAGACCAUGGUAAACAAGGCAUGAAAUAAACGCAGCCCACUUUCUAAUAGCAAAAAACUAACGUUUCACGGUUCAAAUCAGGAAAAUCAAAUCAAAUUGAAGCCAUAAUAAUCAAUGGUAUCUCAUAAUCCUUUUUUUGCUGAAAAUCCUAAAAAAACAAAGCACGCAUCUGAAUUGGAUGAUAGGAUGGAUGGACUCACAAACUAAUACUGACCAGCAUCCCUUGCACAGUGCACGUAGCGGCCGCCAUGUAUCCCUGCGCACCCGAGUCAUUUACCUAUACAACAACAACACUAAAAGAGAACUGCAGAAAUCACAAACCACCAAGCCGGCAGAAGAAGGACGAAGGAAACACAAACCCACCAUCAGACGCACCCCACAACAUCCCUCCCAAGAAACCGAUGCAGAGGAAGAAGAAACCGGCAGCAGCAGAUCCGCCCCACCCCCGGCGAAGAGGCAGGCAUCGGACCUCCUCCCUCCGAAGAGGCAGGCACCGAACACGCAGCCGAAGACCACCAAACACCCCGCUCACCAAAAACACCGCCGCCGCCAAAUUCAAAGGAGAAAAGGAAGGACGACGACCCUCGUAGCAGUAAAAGAAAAAAAACAUCACCUACACGCGGGCGCGUACACAAGCACCACGAAUACACACAAGCCAACCGAUAGAGCGAGACCAACAAGCCAGCGACAAAUACACUUACAAAAAGAACCCACCCCGCAAGCCACACACCUCGGUCAACCAGGAGCCUCCCCAUCAGUGGAGCUUAGAGUUUUCACCAACAGAUGCAUCCUGAUAUAGGAAGAUGCAAACUUGUAUAAAGAUAUUGCUUUCUUCCCAAUAAACAGCAACAUGAGGAAACACCCGUCUAUAAAAAUAGGUCUACUAAAUCAAUAAAAAUUACUUGUUGAAAAAUCCUAAAACAACCACACUACUGUUAUCAGAAUAUCAUCUAUCUGAAGCCAAAGAAUGAGCUGGACAGACCAUGGUAAACAAGGCAUGAAAUAAACGCAGCCCACUUUCUAAUAGCAAAAAACUAACCUUUCACGGUUCAAAUCAGGAAAAUCAAAUCAAAUUGAAGCCAUAAUAAUCAACAGUAUCUCAUAAUCCUUUUUUUUGCUGAAAAUCCUAAAAAACCAAAGCACGCAUCUGAAUUGGAUGAUAGGAUGAAUGGACUCACAAACUAAUACUGACCAUCAUCCCUUGCACAGGGCACAUAGCGGCCGCCAUGUAUCCCUGCGCACCCGAGUCAUUUACAUGUACAACAACAGCACUAAAAGAGAACUGCAAAAAUCACAAACCACCAAGCCGACAGAAGAAGGAUGAAGGAAACGCAAACCCACCAUCAGUCACACCCCACAACAUCCCUCCCAAGAAACGAUGCAGAGGUAGAAGAAACUGAUAGCAGCAGAUCCGGCCCCACCCCUGGCGAAGAGGCGGGCAUCGGACCUCCUCCCUCCGAAGAGGCAGGCACCGAACACGCAGCCGAAGACCACCAAACACCCCGCUCACCAAAAACAC
RNAcentral lists this long non-coding RNA (2088 nucleotides) under Triticum aestivum (bread wheat). Its description in RNAcentral is "long non-coding RNA (TAES_LNC022416)". Lineage: Eukaryota; Viridiplantae; Streptophyta; Magnoliopsida; Poales; Poaceae. The record is from RNAcentral.